GCGUCGAAGCAGUGUAUGUCAGACUUCCAAGAAAAGCUCGCAAUGUUACAAAUAAAAAUGCCUGUACCAUAACCGACACAGGUGGGUAGGUAGAGUAUACUAAGGGGCGCGAGAUAACUCUCUCUAAGGAACUCGGCAAAAUGACUCCGUAACUUCGGGAGAAGGAGUGCCUUAUUUAUAAGGUUGCAAUAACAAGAUCCAAGCAACUGUUUAUCAAAAACACAGGUCUCCGCUAAGUCGUAAGACGAUGUAUGGGGGCUGACGCCUGCCCAGUGCCAGAAGGUUAAAGAAGUUGGUUAGUGUAUGCGAAGCUGAUGACUGAAGCCCUGGUGAACGGCGGCCGUAACGAUAACGGUCCUAAGGUAGCGAAAUUCCUUGUCGGGUAAGUUCCGACCCGCACGAAAGGCGUAAUGAUUUGGAUACUGUCUCGGAGAGAGGCUCGGUGAAAUAGACUUGUCUGUGAAGAUGCGGACUACCUGCACCAGGACAGAAAGACCCUAUGAAGCUUUACUGUAACUUGAAAUUGGAAUUGGACUUUGCUUGCGCAGUAUAGGUGGGAAGCGUUGAAAAUAUUCUUGCGGGAGUAUUGGAGCUAUCAGUGAGAUACCACUCUUGUAAUGUUAGAUUUCUAACUUUGAGCCAUAAUCUGGUCAAAGAACAGUUUCAGGUGGGCAGUUUGACUGGGGCGGUCGCCUCCCAAAUGGUAACGGAGGCGUACAAAGGUUUCCUCUGAACGGAUAGAAAUCGUAUCUAGAGUGUAAAGGCAUAAGGAAGCUUGACUGUGAGACCUACAAGUCGAGCAGGGACGAAAGUCGGUCUUAGUGAUCUGACGGUACUGAGUGGAAAGGCCGUCACUCAACGGAUAAAAGUUACUAUAGGAUAACAGGCUGAUCUCCCCCAAGAGUUCACAUCGACGGGGAGGUUUGGCACCUCGAUAUCGGCUCAUCGCAUCCUGGGGCGGUAGUACGUCCCAAGGGUUGGGCUGUUCGCCCAUGAAAGCGGUACGCGAGCUGGGUUCAGAACGUCGUGAGACAGUUCGGUCCAUAUCCGGUGUAGGCGCUAGAAUAUUGAGAGGAGCCUUCUUUAGUACGAGAGGACCGAGAAGGACACACCGCUGGUGUACCAGUUAUCGUGCCAACGGUAAACGCUGGGUAGCUAUGUGUGGAGUGGAUAACCGCUGAAAGCAUCUAAGUGGGAAGCCCACCUCGAGAUGAGUAUUCCC
RNAcentral lists this ribosomal RNA (1222 nucleotides) under metagenome. RNAcentral's name for it is "bacterial LSU rRNA". It matches the Rfam family "Bacterial large subunit ribosomal RNA", at positions 1582 to 2815 of the family's 2925-position model. The record is from RNAcentral.